RNAcentral lists this long non-coding RNA (668 nucleotides) under Ananas comosus (pineapple). Its description in RNAcentral is "long non-coding RNA (ACOM_LNC018036)". The record is from RNAcentral. Lineage: Eukaryota; Viridiplantae; Streptophyta; Magnoliopsida; Poales; Bromeliaceae.
CUUCACAAUCUAGGGGCAUGUUUAUUUCACUGAAACUGAACUUUGAGUUAAAAUAGACUUUGGGUUGAAGUGAAGUUGGGCGAAAAUUAUUUUUUCCCUGCACUUUGUUUCAUAGCUAUGGAAUGAAGUUUCCUUAGUUCUAAAAGUGAAUGAUAUAAAACUAUAAUUUAUAUAUAAAUAAUAAAUAAGUUAAUAAAUAAUAAAUUAUAAAAUAAUAAAUAAAUAAAAUAUAAUUAUAUUUCUACAUAAUUUAAAAAAUUAAUCUAAAACAACUAAAUUAUUUAUUUAUGUAUAAGUUAUAUAAUAAUAUAAUAAUAAAAUUAUAAAGUAAAAAAUAUAUAAAUAAUUAACUAAUCAAUUUUUAUCAUAUUUUAAAUGUACAAACUAAAUAAAAAAAAAUGCUGAAUCUUACCUAAUCAAAUUUCAUCAUAUUUUAAAUAUGCAAACUAGAUAAAAAAGUAAUUAAAUUAAAUAUAUUUAAAUAUAACUAGCAUCACUCAUUAUAUUAUUUUAUUAUUUUUUUUAUCCCUCUUCACCAUAAUUGAUUUCGGUCCAGGUCGGGCCCGAAGUCAAUAACACUGCUCCGAAUACAGCGAAACAAAUAGCGAAAGUGAUCGUUUACGGCCGAAAAACGUCUUUGUCAUUUUCUAAUUUCACCAAAACAAACA